RNAcentral lists this ribosomal RNA (1917 nucleotides) under Triticum aestivum (bread wheat). Its description in RNAcentral is "partial small subunit ribosomal RNA". Lineage: Eukaryota; Viridiplantae; Streptophyta; Magnoliopsida; Poales; Poaceae. The record is from RNAcentral.
AUGAUGUUCUCUACACUCGCCUCAUUGCUUGGAGGGGGCCUGAUGACCCAGCCACCAGCAACUAACUACUCCAUGGGCGGUGACCCUAGUUCGGACCUCCAGGUUGUAAUCUGGAAUGGGACUACACCAUAUUGGCGCAGAUCUGUGUGGGAUGGUGAAUUGGUCGAUGGCUGGUAUCAAGGUAGCACUGGCUUCAUCAUGACCCUGACAAUUGUCUACCAAGGGCGUGAGUUAUACAUGACAUUCACCGUCUCCGACGACUCGCCAAGCAUGCGAAUGGUGCUGCACUACACGGGCAUGUUUAGGUUUCUGGUGUGGAACAGCAACUCGUCAUCAUGGGAGGUUUUCACAGAGCAGCCAAGUCCUAGCUGUGACCAAUACGCCUACUGCGGACCAUUUGGCUACUGUGAUGCCACUGAAACAGUUCCGAAAUGCAACUGCCUCAGUGGGUUUGAGCCUGACGGUGUUAACUUCUCCAGAGGGUGCCGGAGAAAGGAGGAUCUGAAAUGUGGCGGUGGCGAUAAUUUCUUGACCUUGAGAGGUAUGAAGAUACCCGAUAAGUUCGUAUAUGUCAGGAACAGAGGCAUCGACCAAUGCAGAGCAGAGUGCAGCCGUAAUUGCAAUUGCACUGCGUAUGCUUAUGCUAACCUGCAAAAUGGCAGCACGUCUGAUGACGUGCCAAGGUGCUUGAUUUGGUUGGGGGAGCUUGUCGACACAGGAAAGUUUCGUGAUGGCGAGAACCUGUACCUCCGUCUAGCCAGUUCAACAGUUGCCAAAGAGAGCAAUGUAUUGAAGAUUGCACUCCCACUAUUUCUGUCAGGCAAACGACGAAUCAAGAAAGUUAAGAAUAAAUAUGCACGACAACACUCGAAAAAUUCCAAAUCUAUCGAACUUGAGAACGAAACCAUAGAACUUCCAUAUAUUUGCUUUGAAGAUGUUGUUACUGCAACGGACAAUUUCUCAGAUUACAACAUGCUUGGGAAAGGUGGCUUCAGAAAAGUUUACAAGGGACGGUUACAAGGUGGCUAUGAAGUUGCUGUCAAAAGGCUAAGCAAGAGUUCUGGUCAAGGGGCUGACGAGUUCAGAAAUGAAGUGGUUCUGAUUGCCAAAUUGCAGCAUAGAAACUUAGUUAGGCUUCUUGCUUACUGCACUCACGAAGAUGAGAAGUUAUUGAUAUAUGAAUACUUACCUCACAAAAGUUUAGAUGCCUUCCUUUUUGAUGCCACAAGAAAUUUUGUGCUUGAUUGGCCGACCAGGUUUAAGGUAAUUAAAGGGAUAGCGAGAGGGCUUCUUUAUCUCCAUCAAGAUUCAAGGCUAACAAUAAUCCAUCGUGAUCUCAAAGCAAGCAAUGUCUUGUUAGAUGCGGAAAUGAACCCUAAAAUAUCAGAUUUUGGUAUGGCAAGGAUCUUUGGAGGAAAUGAGCAGCAAGUGAACACUAUCCGUGUUGUUGGGACAUACGGUUACAUGUCUCCUGAAUAUGCAAUGGAAGGUUCCUUUUCUGUCAAGUCUGACAUGUAUAGCUUUGGCAUUCCUCUGUUGGAGAUUGUAAGCGGGUUAAAGAUUAGCUCAUCCCAUCUCACAAUGGAUUUUCCAAGCCUUAUAGCUUAUGCAUGGAGCUUAUGGAAAGAUGGAAAUGCAGGAGAAUUGGUGGACUCGUCCAUUACGGAGAUCUGUCCACUUCAUGAAGUUCUGCGGUGUAUUCAGUUAGGUCUCUUGUGUGUUCAAGACGAUCCAAGUGCUCGUCCACUCAUGUCAUCCACCGUGUUCAUGUUAGAAAAUGAAACAGCCCCGCUUCCUACUCCGAAGGAGCCUGUAUAUUUUAGGCAACGGAAGUAUGAAGUUGAAGACCAAAGGCAAGACUAUGACCUGGAAAUGUCUCUUAAUGGCAUGACUAUGACAAUGGAAGAGGGGCGUUAA